This is a non-coding RNA of Mesoplodon densirostris (Blainville's beaked whale), 73 nucleotides long. NCBI's taxonomy places the organism in Eukaryota, Metazoa, Chordata, Mammalia, Artiodactyla, Ziphiidae. The record is from the annotation of a RefSeq genome assembly.
UCCCUGGUCGUCCAGUGGUUAGGACUUUGCGCUCACAGUGCCGAGGGCCUGGGUUCAAUCCCCAGUCAGGGAA